RNAcentral lists this ribosomal RNA (131 nucleotides) under Enterococcus faecium. Its description in RNAcentral is "partial 23S ribosomal RNA". The record is from RNAcentral. Lineage: Bacteria; Bacillati; Bacillota; Bacilli; Lactobacillales; Enterococcaceae.
AAAGAGUAAGUCUGAAGAGGAGUCAAAUGCUUCUUUUCUUAAGGACAAGCUGUGAUGGGGAGGGAAAUAAUAGUACCGAAGUUCCUGAUGUCACACUGCCGAGAAAAGCUUCUAGUGAGAAAACAGCGGCC